This 21-nucleotide microRNA is filed under the name Malus domestica (apple). RNAcentral describes it as "mdm-miR11002c-5p". Lineage: Eukaryota; Viridiplantae; Streptophyta; Magnoliopsida; Rosales; Rosaceae. The record is from miRBase by way of RNAcentral.
CCCAGUCACCUCCGAAGCUCA